Long non-coding RNA from Rhinopithecus roxellana (golden snub-nosed monkey), 1702 nucleotides. RefSeq lists it as uncharacterized. The transcript has 2 exons. NCBI's taxonomy places the organism in Eukaryota, Metazoa, Chordata, Mammalia, Primates, Cercopithecidae. The record is from RefSeq and is a predicted model, not a curated record.
GAGAGCAAAGCGUCUCUGGGGUCUGCAGCAGCAGGUCUGAUGAACAAACAAGGGAGGGAGGGAGCCUGUACCCCCACCACUUCCUCAGGGGAGCUUGCCUCAAGUUUGCUACAGAGCAUCCGGACAGAAGCCACUGGUCAGCACUGACGUUCCACGAUGAGCCCAGAGGAUGUGAUGAUCAUCUGCCCAUUAUUUUUACUCUCGGACCCCCCACCUCCGGAGCUUGGGGGUCCCUGUGUGUCAGUGGGAACCGGGAGGAGCUGAGCAUGAGUGCUAGCUGCGUUUGCGAGAUUUCAGGGGUUUUGAGCUAAGCCAGCGGUGCUCCGCGUCGGCCCUCCUCCCUCCCCAGUCCCCGCCGCAUGUUCUUUUUCUUUGGGCGGUGGGUUGGGCAAUUAUGCUCUGCGGCGACCGCGACCGUAAGAUCUGAGUGCCAAGGCGCUCCGCCCCUCCGUGCUAAUCUAAAUGGAGAUAACGAAGAAAACAGCAUCUAGGAGGAAAGGCUGAAAUCCGCUCGAGGUACGACGGUAAUGGUUUCUAUUUCUAGCCCGAGACACGAGAGGCUAGCCAGGGAAGCUGUCGGCGGGCGCUACAGAGCCGCGGGAGGGCCCCGUUUAUUCCCCCAAAACCAGAGCCCGGAAAGCGCCCCCGCCCCGGCGCGUCCCGCCCGCGUCCCAGCCCGACUUCUGGUUUCCCGCCCUGUCCCGGCCUGGGCCCAGCCUAGCCCGCCCCCGAGCGGGCGUCUCCCUCCGGCUCCAGGGAGCGGAAAGGGUUGGGCCGGUGGGAGGAGCCCAAGGCCGGUGACGACGGACGCCGCGGGUCGAAGGGGCCGAAGAACUCGGCGGCGAAGGUGACCACGUCCUCCGGCUGGCGCAGCAGCAGGAAGAGCAGGAAGUCGGAGAUGAGCGCGUGGGCUUCGGGGUGCUGCCGUAGAUAGCUGGCGUGGCCGAGCCGGAGCUCCUCCUGGCGGGGGACAGAGCCAGAGCCUCAGCCGGACGGGAUCCCCGCGCCCCAGGAGCCCCCACCCACUCGCUCCAAGGAGAGCUAAGGGGCACUGGAGACUUCUAGCCCCUGUGGGUGUGCAUUUCAAUCAGGGGCAGAGAGAUCAGUAAUGAAUUUAAGGCCGAUGGGGGAAUGGGAACCCCAGGCUGGUGGAGCCUGCCCUCACCUUACGGUCCAGGAACUUCGAAUAGAGCUCCAUAUCCUCCUCCCACACCGGGGGCUUCUUCUCAAACACUGGGCGUGGCUCAAUCUCAUCUGGGUGGAGAACAAAGAAGGCUGGGCGUCCCCACCCCAGAACCUUCCCUGGAUACACAGCGGGAUCCCGAGAACAUCCAAACAGAAGGCUCAGGUGAAACCCCAGGAUUCUGCACACAUGGGCAGAGUUGCAGGAAGGGACUCCCAGUAAGAAAGAUCCUCCUCUUACUGCUUGGGGUCAGAGGCUGGAGGGCAGAUGUUCUCCAGCUGAUUCCAGGCUCCUGUCCCGCACACUCGGUCCAGCCCCCUGCAUCCUGGAAGGCCCAGGUUUCCCCACUCCCCUUCACAUUCCCUGGAUGCCCAAGGCCUGGGCUUCACUCACCCUCUUCCCUCAAGAUGGGCAUCUUGGUGAUGAUGCAGCAUCCUGGGGAGCCCACCUGUAUUCUCUUGGCCAGGUGCCUGGAGUGCAACACAACAUGCGAGAGUGAGAAUCUUCCCAGGCAGCCUG